Molecule: long non-coding RNA, 557 nt
Filed under: Glycine max (soybean)
Lineage: Eukaryota; Viridiplantae; Streptophyta; Magnoliopsida; Fabales; Fabaceae
Description: long non-coding RNA (GMAX_LNC001019)
Source: RNAcentral
UCGCCAACUGUCGCAACCUACCCUUCAGUGGGAGGACGACAAGAGACUCACGGGAACGUCUUCCAAGGAAGGAAGACGCACGGAGUCGCCACCAACGUUUAUUUGAGGAAAACGUCAGAAAAACCAAAAUGCGUGUGGUCUAUGAACUUUAAUCGUGAAAGGUUCGGGAGUUGUAUUUAUGCACGGGGAAGGUAUUAGCACCCCACGCGUCCGUCACAAGGGACGGCAGCCUUUAACCGAGUGUGCAAACAUGACUUCAAUUUGUUUUAUUUCCCCUUUUUUUAGGUUUUUAUGUCUUUUUAUGCCUUUUUGUAUUUUUUAUCUUUUUGUGGUCGACAAGGGUGUUUCCCUUGCUCCUACGUAUCCUCAAUUGCGAUGAGGGAAUCAGACCUACGUAGUUCUUUUAAAAGCGAUAAAGCCAUGUGUUGAUUUUAUGCUUUUGAAAGGUCCAUGUUAACCAAUAAAAGCAAAGAGGACCAUUUAAGGCGUUGGACCUUAGAACGGUUUCAAGUGAUUUUUGCGGACAAAGCUUGAUUUGUGAGUUGGUUUUAGCCUUA